AGCGAACGCUGGCGGCAGGCCUAACACAUGCAAGUCGAACGAACUCUUCGGAGUUAGUGGCGGACGGGUGAGUAACACGUGGGAACGUGCCUUUAGGUUCGGAAUAACUCAGGGAAACUUGUGCUAAUACCGAAUGUGCCCUUCGGGGGAAAGAUUUAUCGCCUUUAGAGCGGCCCGCGUCUGAUUAGCUAGUUGGGGAGGUAAAGGCUCACCAAGGCGACGAUCAGUAGCUGGUCUGAGAGGAUGAUCAGCCACAUUGGGACUGAGACACGGCCCAAACGCCUACGGGAGGCAGCAGUGGGGAAUCUGGCGCAAUGGGCGAAAGCCUGACGCAGCCAUGCCGCGUGAAUGAUGAAGGUCUUAGGAUUGUAAAAUUCUUUCACCGGGGACGAUAAGGACGGUACCCGGAGAAGAAGCCCCGGCUAACUUCGU
This 432-nucleotide ribosomal RNA is filed under the name uncultured bacterium. RNAcentral's name for it is "partial 16S ribosomal RNA". It matches the Rfam family "Bacterial small subunit ribosomal RNA", at positions 29 to 506 of the family's 1533-position model. The record is from RNAcentral.